UACGUAGGGUGCGAGCGUUGCCCGGAUUUAUUGGGCGUAAAGAGCUCGUAGGCGGCUUGUUGCGUCGUCCGUGAAAACCUGUGGCUCAACUACAGGCUUGCGGUCGAUACGGGCGGGCUGGAGUUCGGUAGGGGAGACUGGAAUUCCUGGUGUAGCGGUGAAAUGCGCAGAUAUCAGGAGGAACAUCGGUGGCGAAGGCGGGUCUCUGGGCCGAUACUGACGCUGAGGAGCGAAAGCGUGGGGAGCGAACAGG
Molecule: ribosomal RNA, 253 nt
Filed under: uncultured bacterium
Lineage: Bacteria
Description: partial 16S ribosomal RNA
Rfam family: Bacterial small subunit ribosomal RNA
Source: RNAcentral